CUGGCGGCGUGCCUAAUACAUGCAAGUUGAGCGCUGAAGGUUGGUACUUGUACCGACUGGAUGAGCAGCGAACGGGUGAGUAACGCGUGGGGAAUCUGCCUUUGAGCGGGGGACAACAUUUGGAAACGAAUGCUAAUACCGCAUAAAAACUUUAAACACAAGUUUUAAGUUUGAAAGAUGCAAUUGCAUCACUCAAAGAUGAUCCCGCGUUGUAUUAGCUAGUUGGUGAGGUAAAGGCUCACCAAGGCGAUGAUACAUAGCCGACCUGAGAGGGUGAUCGGCCACAUUGGGACUGAGACACGGCCCAAACUCCUACGGGAGGCAGCAGUAGGGAAUCUUCGGCAAUGGACGAAAGUCUGACCGAGCAACGCCGCGUGAGUGAAGAAGGUUUUCGGAUCGUAAAACUCUGUUGGUAGAGAAGAACGUUGGUGAGAGUGGAAAGCUCAUCAAGUGACGGUAACUACCCAGAAAGGGACGGCUAACUACGUGCCAGCAGCCGCGGUAAUACGUAGGUCCCGAGCGUUGUCCGGAUUUAUUGGGCGUAAAGCGAGCGCAGGUGGUUUAUUAAGUCUGGUGUAAAAGGCAGUGGCUCAACCAUUGUAUGCAUUGGAAACUGGUAGACUUGAGUGCAGGAGAGGAGAGUGGAAUUCCAUGUGUAGCGGUGAAAUGCGUAGAUAUAUGGAGGAACACCGGUGGCGAAAGCGGCUCUCUGGCCUGUAACUGACACUGAGGCUCGAGAGCGUGGGGAGCAAACAGGAUUAGAUACCCUGGUAGUCCACGCCGUAAACGAUGAGUGCUAGAUGUAGGGAGCUAUAAGUUCUCUGUAUCGCAGCUAACGCAAUAAGCACUCCGCCUGGGGAGUACGACCGCAAGGUUGAAACUCAAAGGAAUUGACGGGGGCCCGCACAAGCGGUGGAGCAUGUGGUUUAAUUGGAAGCAACGCGAAGAACCUUACCAGGUCUUGACAUACUCGUGCUAUUCCUAGAGAUAGGAAGUUCCUUCGGGACACGGGAUACAGGUGGUGCAUGGUUGUCGUCAGCUCGUGUCGUGAGAUGUUGGGUUAAGUCCCGCAACGAGCGCAACCCCUAUUGUUAGUUGCCAUCAUUAAGUUGGGCACUCUAACGAGACUGCCGGUGAUAAACCGGAGGAAGGUGGGGAUGACGUCAAAUCAUCAUGCCCCUUAUGACCUGGAUUACACACGUGUUACAAUGGAUGGUACAACGAGUCGCGAGACAGUGAUGUUUAGCUAAUCUCUUAAAACCAUUCUCAGUUCGGAUUGUAGGCUGCAACUGGCCUACAUGAAGUCGGAAUCGCUAGUAAUCGCGGAUCAGCACGCCGCGGUGAAUACGUUCCCGGGCCUUGUACACACCGCCCGUCACACCACGGGAGUUGGGAGUACCCGAAGUAGGUUGCCUAACCGCAAGGAGGGCGCUUCCUAAGGUAAGACCGA
RNAcentral lists this ribosomal RNA (1450 nucleotides) under uncultured organism. RNAcentral's name for it is "SSU rRNA". It matches the Rfam family "Bacterial small subunit ribosomal RNA". The record is from RNAcentral.